Molecule: ribosomal RNA, 758 nt
Filed under: uncultured marine bacterium
Lineage: Bacteria
Description: bacterial SSU rRNA
Rfam family: Bacterial small subunit ribosomal RNA
Source: RNAcentral
GGCGAACGGGUGAGUAACGCGUGAGCAAUCUACCUUAGUUACAGGGAUAGCCCGAGGAAACUCGGAUUAAUACCUGAUAUUCUUUAUUUCUCGCAUGAGAAUAAAAGGAAAGGUCAGCCGAACUAAGAUGAGCUCGCGUUCUAUCAGCUAGUUGGUGAGGUAAAAGCUUACCAAGGCUACGACGGAUAGCUGGUCUGAGAGGACGAUCAGCCACACUGGGACUGAGACACGGCCCAGACUCCUACGGGAGGCUGCAGCAGGGAAUAUUGUGCAAUGAACGAAAGUUUGACACAGCGACACCGCGUGUGGGAUGACGGAUCUAGGUUUGUAAACCACUUUCAGGAGGGAAGAAAAUGACGGUACCUCCACAAGAAGCCCCGACCAACUACGUGCCAGCAGCCGGGGUAAUACGUAGGGGGCGAGCGUUGUCCGGAUUUAUUGGGCGUAAAGAGCUCGUAGGCGGUUCAACAAGUCGGUCGUGAAAGUUCAGGGCUCAACCCUGAAAUGUCGAUCGAUACUGUUGUGACUAGGAUACGGUAGAGGUGAGUGGAAUUCCGAGUGUAGCGGUGAAAUGCGUAGAUAUUCGGAGGAACACCAAUUGCGAAGGCAGCUCACUGGACCGCUAUCGACGCUGAGGAGCGAAAGCUAGGGGAGCAAACAGGAUUAGAUACCCUGGUAGUCCUAGCUGUAAACGAUGGAUACUAGACGUAGGAACUGGAUUGACGGUUUCUGUGUCGUAGCUAACGCGUUAAGUAUCC